UGGGCAACCUGCCCCUCUCUCUGGGAUAACCCCCGGGAAACCGGAGCUAAUACCGGAUACUCCGGCUGGAUCGCAUGGUCCGGCCGGGAAAGGUCCGCCGGAGAGGGAUGGGCCCGCGGCCUAUCAGCUUGUUGGUGGGGUCAUGGCUCACCAAGGCGACGACGGGUAGCUGGUCUGAGAGGGUGACCGGCCACACUGGGACUGAGAUACGGCCCAGACUCCUACGGGAGGCA
Molecule: ribosomal RNA, 233 nt
Filed under: uncultured bacterium
Lineage: Bacteria
Description: partial 16S ribosomal RNA
Rfam family: Bacterial small subunit ribosomal RNA
Source: RNAcentral